GAUGAACGCUGGCGGCGUGCCUAAUACAUGCCAGUCGAGCGAACAGACGAGGAGCUUGCUCCUCUGACUUUAGCGGCGGACGGGUGAGUAACACGUGGAUAACCUACCUAUAAGACUGGGAUAACUUCGGGAAACCGGAGCUAAUACCGGAUAAUAUAUUGAACCGCAUGGUUCAAUAGUGAAAGACGGUUUUGCUUUCACUUAUAGAUGGAUCCGCGCCGCAUUAGCUAGUUGGUAAGGUAACGGCUUACCAAGGCAACGAUGCGUAGCCGACCUGAGAGGGUGAUCGGCCACACUGGAACUGAGACACGGUCCAGACUCCUACGGGAGGCAGCAGUAGGGAAUCUUCCGCAAUGGGCGAAAGCUUGACGGAGCAACGCCGCGUGAGUGAUGAAGGUCUUCGGAUCGUAAAACUCUGUUAUUAGGGAAGAACAAAUGUGUAAGUAACUAUGCACGUCUUGACGGUACCUAAUCAGAAAGCCACGGCUAACUACGUG
RNAcentral lists this ribosomal RNA (497 nucleotides) under uncultured bacterium. RNAcentral's name for it is "partial 16S ribosomal RNA". It matches the Rfam family "Bacterial small subunit ribosomal RNA", at positions 28 to 507 of the family's 1533-position model. The record is from RNAcentral.